This 497-nucleotide ribosomal RNA is filed under the name uncultured bacterium. Its description in RNAcentral is "partial 16S ribosomal RNA". It matches the Rfam family "Bacterial small subunit ribosomal RNA", at positions 28 to 507 of the family's 1533-position model. The record is from RNAcentral.
GAUGAACGCUGGCGGCGUGCCUAAUACAUGCAAGUCGAGCGAACGGACGAGAAGCUUGCGUCUCUGAUGUUAGCGGCGGACGGGUGAGUAACACGUGGAUAACCUACCUAUAAGACUGGGAUAACUUCGGGAAACCGGAGCUAAUACCGGAUAAUAUUUUGAACCGCAUGGUUCAAAAGUGAAAGACGGUCUUGCUGUCACUUAUAGAUGGAUCCGCGCUGCAUUAGCUAGUUGGUAAGGUAACGGCUCACCAAGGCAACGAUGCAUAGCCGACCUGAGAGGGUGAUCAGCCACACUGGAACUGAGACACGGUCCAGACUCCUACGGGAGGCAGCAGUAGGGAAUCUUCCGCAAUGGGCGAAAGCCUGACGGAGCAACGCCGCGUGAGUGAUGAAGGUCUUCGGGUCGUAAAGCUCUAUUAUUGGGGAAGAACAUAUGUGUAAGUAAAUGUGCACAUCUUGACGGUACCUAAACAAAAAGCCACGGCUAACUACGUG